This 87-nucleotide transfer RNA is filed under the name Amphritea atlantica. Its description in RNAcentral is "tRNA-Leu". It matches the Rfam family "tRNA". From Rfam's summary of the family: Transfer RNA (tRNA) molecules are approximately 80 nucleotides in length. Their secondary structure includes four short double-helical elements and three loops (D, anti-codon, and T loops). Further hydrogen bonds mediate the characteristic L-shaped molecular structure. tRNAs have two regions of fundamental functional importance: the anti-codon, which is responsible for specific mRNA codon recognition, and the 3' end, to which the tRNAs corresponding amino acid is attached (by aminoacyl-tRNA synthetases). tRNAs cope with the degeneracy of the genetic code in two manners: having more than one tRNA (with a specific anti-codon) for a particular amino acid; and 'wobble' base-pairing, i.e. permitting non-standard base-pairing at the 3rd anti-codon position. RNAcentral also lists the same sequence under 6 other names. Lineage: Bacteria; Pseudomonadati; Pseudomonadota; Gammaproteobacteria; Oceanospirillales; Oceanospirillaceae. The record is from RNAcentral.
GCCCGGAUGAUGGAAUCGGUAGACAUAGGAGACUUAAAAUCUCCCGACUGAAAGGUCGUGCCGGUUCAAGUCCGGCUCCGGGCACCA